RNAcentral lists this ribosomal RNA (497 nucleotides) under uncultured bacterium. Its description in RNAcentral is "partial 16S ribosomal RNA". It matches the Rfam family "Bacterial small subunit ribosomal RNA", at positions 28 to 507 of the family's 1533-position model. The record is from RNAcentral.
GAUGAACGCUGGCGGCGUGCCUAAUACAUGCAAGUCGAGCGAACAGACGAGGAGCUUGCUCCUCUGACGUUAGCGGCGGACGAGUGAGUAACACGUGGAUAACCUACCUAUAAGACUGGGAUAACUUCGGGAAACCGGAGCUAAUACCGGAUAAUAUAUUGAACCGCAUGGUUCAAUAGCGAAAGACGGUUUUGCUGUCACUUAUAGAUGGAUCCGCGCCGCAUUAGCUAGUUGGUAAGGUAACGGCUUACCAAGGCGACGAUGCGUAGCCGACCUGAGAGGGUGAUCGGCCACACUGGAACUGAGACACGGUCCAGACUCCUACGGGAGGCAGCAGUAGGGAAUCUUCCGCAAUGGGCGAAAGCCUGACGGAGCAACGCCGCGUGAGUGAUGAAGGUCUUCGGAUCGUAAAACUCUGUUAUUAGGGAAGAACAAAUGUGUAAGUAACUAUGCACGUCUUGACGGUACCUAAUCAGAAAGCCACGGCUAACUACGUG